GAGGAGUCCGCGGCUGAUUAGCUAGUUGGUGAGGUAACGGCCCACCAAGGCGAAGAUCGGUAGCCGGCCUGAGAGGGCACACGGCCACACUGGCACUGAAAUACGGGCCAGACUCCUACGGGAGGCAGCAGUGGGGAAUCUUGCACAAUGGGGGAAACCCUGAUGCAGCGACGCCGCGUGAGCGAUGAAGCCCUUCGGGGUGUAAAGCUCUUUCGACGGGAACGAUGAUGACGGUACCCGGAGAAGAAGCUGCGGCUAACUACGUGCCAGCAGCCGCGGUAAUACGUAGGCAGCAAGCGUUGUUCGGAAUUACUGGGCGUAAAGAGUGCGUAGGUGGUGUUCCAAGUCUGGUGUGAAAUCUCCCGGCUCAACUGGGAGGGUGCGCCGGAAACUGGAAUGCUUGAGGGUGGGAGAGGUAAGCGGAAUUCCUGGUGUAGCGGUGAAAUGCGUAGAUAUCAGGAGGAACACCUGUGGUGUAGACAGCUUACUGGACCAUUUCUGACACUGAGGCACGAAAGCGUGGGUAGCAAACAGGAUUAGAU
Molecule: ribosomal RNA, 542 nt
Filed under: uncultured bacterium
Lineage: Bacteria
Description: bacterial SSU rRNA
Rfam family: Bacterial small subunit ribosomal RNA
Source: RNAcentral